GAUGAACGCUGGCGGCGUGCCUAAUACAUGCCAGUCGAGCGAACGGACGAGAAGCUUGCUUCUCUGAUGUUAGCGGCGGACGGGUGAGUAACACGUGGAUAACCUACCUAUAAGACUGGGAUAACUUCGGGAAACCGGAGCUAAUACCGGAUAAUAUUUUGAACCGUAUGGUUCAAAAGUGAAAGACGGUCUUGCUGUCACUUAUAGAUGGAUCCGCGCUGCAUUAGCUAGUUGGUAAGGUAACGGGUUACCAAGGCAACGAGGCAUAGCCGACGUGAGAGAGUGAUCGGCGACACUGGAGCUGGGACACGGACCAGACUCCUACGGGAGGCAGCAGUAGGGAAUCUUACGCAGUGGGCGAAAGCCUGGCAGAGCAACGCCGCGUGAGUGAUGAAGGUCUUCGGAUCGUAAAACUCUGUUAUUAGGGAAGAACAUAUGUGUAAGUAACUGUGCACAUCUUGACGGUACCUAAUCAGAAAGCCACGGCUAACUACGUG
RNAcentral lists this ribosomal RNA (497 nucleotides) under uncultured bacterium. RNAcentral's name for it is "partial 16S ribosomal RNA". It matches the Rfam family "Bacterial small subunit ribosomal RNA", at positions 28 to 507 of the family's 1533-position model. The record is from RNAcentral.